UAUUAUAAAAUUAUCUUAGGUGCCCCGAUUUUCGGGGAGAAUAGGGAAACCGGUAAGAAUCCGGUACGGACCCACCACUGUAAGGACGAGCUCUUGCCGAUCCACUGGCUUAUGCUGGGAAGGGGCAAUGAUGCGUUUGAGUCUUAAGUCAGGAGACCUGCCUGAGAUGAAAAAAGUCU
Molecule: non-coding RNA, 179 nt
Filed under: Oxobacter pfennigii
Lineage: Bacteria; Bacillati; Bacillota; Clostridia; Eubacteriales; Clostridiaceae
Source: RNAcentral